GCUGGGCAUGGUGGUGCAUGCCUGUAAUCCCAGCAGCUAAGGAUGCUGAGGCAGGAGGACUGCAAGUUCAAAGCCAGCCUCAG
Molecule: small RNA, 83 nt
Filed under: Marmota monax (woodchuck)
Lineage: Eukaryota; Metazoa; Chordata; Mammalia; Rodentia; Sciuridae
Source: RNAcentral